CAGCCGCCGCGGGAAAACGAAGGGUGCAAGCGUUACUCGGAAUUACUGGGCGUAAAGCGUGCGUAGGUGGUGGUUUAAGUCCGUUGUGGAAGCCCUGGGCUCAACCUGGGAAUUGCAGUGGAUACUGGGUCACUAGAGUGUGGUAGAGGAUAGUGGAAUUUCCGGUGUAGCAGUGAAAUGCGUAGAGAUCGGAAGGAACAUCUGUGGCGAAGGCGACUAUCUGGGCCAACACUGACACUGAGGCACGAAAGCGUGGGGAGCAAACAGGAUUAGAUACCCCUGUAGUCCCUGUCUCUUAUAC
Molecule: ribosomal RNA, 301 nt
Filed under: uncultured bacterium
Lineage: Bacteria
Description: partial 16S ribosomal RNA
Rfam family: Bacterial small subunit ribosomal RNA
Source: RNAcentral